RNAcentral lists this ribosomal RNA (375 nucleotides) under uncultured bacterium. Its description in RNAcentral is "bacterial SSU rRNA". It matches the Rfam family "Bacterial small subunit ribosomal RNA", at positions 521 to 896 of the family's 1533-position model. The record is from RNAcentral.
UAAUACGGAGGGGGCUAGCGUUGUUCGGAAUCACUGGGCGUAAAGGGCGCGUAGGCGGCUUUUCAAGUUGGGCGUGAAAGGCCUGGGCUCAACCCGGGAACUGCGCUCGAUACUGGAAGGCUGGAGUCCGGGAGAGGAUGGCGGAAUUCCCAGUGUAGAGGUGAAAUUCGUAGAUAUUGGGAAGAACACCGGUGGCGAAGGCGGCCAUCUGGACCGGCACUGACGCUGAGGCGCGAAAGCGUGGGGAGCAAACAGGAUUAGAUACCCUGGUAGUCCACGCCGUAAACGAUGCGUGCCAGACGUCGGGGGGCUUGCCCUUCGGUGUCGCCGCUAACGCUUUAAGCACGCCGCCUGGGGAGUACGGUCGCAAGAUUA